This is a non-coding RNA of Acanthosepion pharaonis, 101 nucleotides long. The record is from the annotation of a GenBank genome assembly. NCBI's taxonomy places the organism in Eukaryota, Metazoa, Mollusca, Cephalopoda, Sepiida, Sepiidae.
GCGUUGAAACACUGGUUCUCGUAUGAUGACCGAAGUUAAAGCAACAUCGAGCCCGGUCAGUACCUAGAUGGGUGACCACCUGGGAAUACCAAGUAUUGUAA